UACAGAGGUCUCAAGCGUUGUUCGGAUUCAUUGGGCGUAAAGGGUGCGUAGGCGGCGCGGUAAGUCGGGUGUGAAAUCUUGGAGCUUAACUCCGAAACUGCAUUCGAUACUGCCGUGCUUGAGGACUGGAGAGGAGACUGGAAUUUACGGUGUAGCGGUGAAAUGCGUAGAUAUCGUAAGGAAGACCAGUGGCGAAGGCGGGCCUCUGGACAGUUCCUGACGCUGAGGCACGAAGGUCAGGGGAGCAAACGGG
This 253-nucleotide ribosomal RNA is filed under the name uncultured bacterium. RNAcentral describes it as "partial 16S ribosomal RNA". It matches the Rfam family "Bacterial small subunit ribosomal RNA", at positions 524 to 776 of the family's 1533-position model. The record is from RNAcentral.